AAACAUGCACUACAGGGCAAUAUAAUGUGUAACCUCAUUAACAUGGUCUCUGUCACUCUCUGGCCAUGCUAAGCAUUGAAAAGGAGUUUUAUCAGUUUGAAGGAAUUAAAAUCAAAUGGAACUAAUCUAUUCACUAAAGCCGGUCUCAUAUACUUUGAUCUCUAACUCUUUUGUGAAUUAAGGAGAACAAUUUUGCUUAACAUCAAGCACUUCAAUCAGAUAGUUAGACAGUCCUUGGUGGAAAUAUGUGCCAACUUCCAAGGGCAUAAAUCAAAGGAAUAAGAGGGAGCUGCUAUUCUUUUGCUGCAAAGGCCACUUGGCUCAGCUCAUAAGUGGCUGAGCUUACUGCAGUACCUUCGAGGUCUCAGUGCCGGGCGUUAUUAUUGAUCUGUCUGUGUAAAGUUUCUGCAGAGCGAUUCUGUGUAUGGAGCAUCUAUGUAUUCCUAAGGCGAGCUGGAGUCCAGACUGGACACGUAGCAUUUAUCUAUACCCUAAACCUUGAUUAUCGCAAUUCCACACUUGAAUAAUCAUCUGGGUUUUUUUUUCCUACUCUCUGCUUAUUGAUGUUCUCAGAUGUCCAGCUCUUGAUGCUCUUAAUUUGUAGUCAUGCGUUUGUGAUUGAUGGAAAUUUCAGCUUGUCGAAUUGGAAAGUGUCACAGGACUGAUGGGAAGCCGUCUGCGAAUUGCUAUUUCAAAUAUAGCUCACCAUGAUCUGAGCAUUCCUCCCUCUCCUCUCUCUCAGAGACUGUCUAUAGCCCUGGGCUGUGAGAGGCACCGUGUUUGUUCUCACAGAUGAGUCCCACUGAGAGAGUUAUUGGGCACCGGCCUUGUGCCCAACAAUGAGGCGAUUUUUCAAAAGAACUCACCCGAUGUGGAGAAGCCCGACGUCCAUCUAAGCUUGUAACAAACUGCACCUUUGUCGGACGCGGCCUCUGUCAGGCCGGGGCUUGGGGGACUGCCCUUGGGUUCAGGCUUUGGCGAACCUGUCAGCUUCAAAUGGGGUCUGCUUUAUUUCACCCCCUGACCUUAGGCCCGAAAAGAGCCACGCAGGAAAAACAGAGAUAUAUGAUACAUCAAGGCCCAGUGAAACUUCACGGCUGGGAAAUGAGGAAGCUGCA
RNAcentral lists this long non-coding RNA (1118 nucleotides) under Scophthalmus maximus (turbot). Its description in RNAcentral is "lncRNA (ENSSMAG00000027221.1)". Lineage: Eukaryota; Metazoa; Chordata; Actinopteri; Pleuronectiformes; Scophthalmidae. The record is from RNAcentral.